UACGUAGGGGGCAAGCGUUGUCCGGAAUUAUUGGGCGUAAAGAACGUGUAGGCGGCCAGAUAAGUCCGCUGUGAAAUCUCGAGGCUCAACUUCGAGCUGUCGGUGGAAACUAUCUGGCUAGAGUCCGGAAGAGGAGAAUGGAAUUCCUGGUGUAGCGGUGAAAUGCGCAGAUAUCAGGAAGAACACCCGUGGCGAAGGCGGUUCUCUGGGACGGUACUGACGCUGAGACGCGAAAGCGUGGGGAGCGAACAGG
This 253-nucleotide ribosomal RNA is filed under the name uncultured bacterium. RNAcentral describes it as "partial 16S ribosomal RNA". It matches the Rfam family "Bacterial small subunit ribosomal RNA", at positions 524 to 776 of the family's 1533-position model. The record is from RNAcentral.